Molecule: long non-coding RNA, 875 nt
Filed under: Medicago truncatula (barrel medic)
Lineage: Eukaryota; Viridiplantae; Streptophyta; Magnoliopsida; Fabales; Fabaceae
Description: lncRNA gene23135
Source: RNAcentral
GUUUGAUGUUGCUUCAAGCUUCCUCUGGUUCCUUUUGAGCGGCGGCGUUUGCUUUGGAGGUGGUCCUACUUUCAGAUCGGCGCUUGUUUUGCUUGGGUCGGUCCUCACCACCUAUCACUUGGUUGUUCCGGUAGUGUUUGUUUGUGUAGCACCAUAGAUAGGAUUCCGUUUGUUUUGUUGAUGGCGCCGCUGCGGUGGUGAGCUGGUGGCAGCGUCGUCUCCUCUUGUUCUGUUUUGGCUGGCUCGUCGGAGGUUUUCUCCGUUGAUCUUGUCUCUGUUAUCAGAGACUUCGGGUGGUGGUUGUUAUGGCCUUGUUUUGGUUUCGUAAACCCGAAAGGGUUUGGUUCUUUUAACCCGAAAGGGUUGUUUGGGUUCUUUGCAAUCCGUUGAUUUUGUGCUCUUGUGCUUGACUCUCUGAUGUUCCAGGUCUGUUGAGAUCUGCAGGCUUCAAGUCUUCAGGAUUACGUCCUCUCCAGUUCUGACCUGUUAUCCAUCUCGGUCAAUGUGAUUGUUAUCGGACUGUUAAGCUCGAAAAAACUAUUAUACCUGCUGCUUUGUUAAGGGGGUUGUUGGUACGUGGAUCUUGAUACCGUGUUGGCGGUCGAUCCAUUCGCCUCUAAACCUUAUUUAAUUCUAUGGAUGUACACUCUUCAUAUUUUUUAUUUUUUUUUUAAUCUGGUUUCGUGUUCGUACGCGGGCACGCUGGGUUGCGUUCGUGAGGAGUGCUCUUUCUGUUAGGAUUAUUUAGGGAAGGGCUACCUGGGUUGUAUUAUAUUGUAUUAUUCCCAUUUAGAUUGUACCUGGAUCAGGCCUAAUGUCCCCCCAGUCUCUGUAUCUCUUUAUUUUUAUUUAUUAUAUUUUGGUUUCUUGCCUAA